Molecule: ribosomal RNA, 253 nt
Filed under: uncultured bacterium
Lineage: Bacteria
Description: partial 16S ribosomal RNA
Rfam family: Bacterial small subunit ribosomal RNA
Source: RNAcentral
UACGGAGGGAGCUAGCGUUGUUCGGAAUUACUGGGCGUAAAGGGCUCGUAGGCGGCCAACUAAGUCAGACGUGAAAUCCCUCGGCUUAACCGGGGAACUGCGUCUGAUACUGGAUGGCUUGAAUUCGGGAGAGGGAUGCAGAAUUCCAGGUGUAGCGGUGAAAUGCGUAGAUAUCUGGAGGAAUACCGGUGGCGAAGGCGGCAUCCUGGACCGAGAUUGACACUGAUGAGCGAAAGCUAGGGGAGCAAACGGG